GGCUUCUUGGGACAGGAUGUACCACUGGAUGUGUACUGGGUUCAUUACAAAGAGAGCUUGAAGCGUCCACCAGGGUUACAAUCAACAGUUAUUAAAUCCAUUUCCGACUGAGACUACAGCUCGCUCAGGUUCUUCACAGGCCUCCUUCCUGAACUGACCUGAUUCUCCUGCCAUGAAGGUUUUGCUGGAGGUUGAAAAGGGAUUCAGUCCUUCCUGAGUGCUGAGGAAGACCAAAGAGCACGAGCUGUCAAAUGGGAUAUCGUGCCAGCAGAAUUCUCAUUGAACACUUGAUGUCAUAUGUCAUCUGACACUGGCUUUUCAUUCAGGUCAUUUCAGGAUAAGACUUCUGAGAGCAACAGCAAAUAUAUUCAAUACUGAGAAUAUUUCAUUUGUAUUGAACACAAUGAGAAGGUGGAUAAAUGUGAAUCAAGGGUUGACACGAUGUGGUGUGAUUGAGAAGAGAUAUCAUAACACAGAGAUCAAGGAAGACGUUACAGCAAGCACCAGGAAGUGGCAGAGAGCAGAAGAGAGAAGAAAGAACAGGAUCCAGGGAGCUUAUCUCCGUGCCAACCUCCAGGAAGCAACAGCGUCGCUGCCCCUUUGGCUCACUGAUGCCCUGAUUUGCAAACAUGCUUCACCUUAAACCAGUUCUUAGAGGAGAAGGUAAGGUUUUUAAACUUCUUUCAACAGUGAAUUUGAAUUAGACAUAAAACACAAAACUCUGAGAACUACUUCAGCCCCUGAAUUAAUUCACUGAAGUGUAAAAUGGGGUGGCAGUGAUCCAAAUAGAAAAG
This is a long non-coding RNA of Bos indicus x Bos taurus (hybrid cattle), 794 nucleotides long. Lineage: Eukaryota; Metazoa; Chordata; Mammalia; Artiodactyla; Bovidae. The record is from Ensembl.